This 503-nucleotide ribosomal RNA is filed under the name uncultured Desulfobulbus sp. RNAcentral describes it as "bacterial SSU rRNA". It matches the Rfam family "Bacterial small subunit ribosomal RNA", at positions 903 to 1382 of the family's 1533-position model. Lineage: Bacteria; Pseudomonadati; Thermodesulfobacteriota; Desulfobulbia; Desulfobulbales; Desulfobulbaceae. The record is from RNAcentral.
AGCCCGCUCAGAAACUACAAAGGAAGUUGACGGGGCCCGCACAAGCGGUGGAGUAUGUGGUUUAAUUCGAUGCAACGCGAAGAACCUUACCUGGUCUUGACAUCCCAGAAAUCCCUUGGAAACUUGGGAGUGCUUCCAUUAGGAAGAAUCUGGAGACAGGUGCUGCAUGGCUGUCGUCAGCUCGUGUCGUGAGAUGUUGGGUUAAGUCCCGCAACGAGCGCAACCCUUGCCUUUAGUUGCCAGCAGUUCGGCUGGGCACUCUAAAGGGACUGCCGGUGUUAAACCGGAGGAAGGUGGGGAUGACGUCAAGUCCUCAUGGCCUUUAUGACCAGGGCUACACACGUACUACAAUGGCCGAUACAAAGGGCAGCGACAUCGCGAGGUGAAGCCAAUCCCAUAAAAUCGGUCUCAGUCCGGAUUGGAGUCUGCAACUCGACUCCAUGAAGUUGGAAUCGCUAGUAAUCGUGGAUCAGCAUGCCACGGUGAAUACGUUCCCGGGCCUU